AGCCGGGAGGCCCCACCACUACCCAUGUCUCUCGCUGCCCAUUACACAGUUCUGGAAGCCAAAGGCACCGCUGAAUUCCCCCAAUCCAGCGCAGGCUAACUCCACCCAAAUCCACUGCAAGUCGUCGCUGCCCAAAUCCACCAGGUCCAUCACCACGCCCAAAUCCAAUCCAUGGCGGAAAUUGAAGGGGCGCGGGCUGCCGGAGUUCGGUGGUGCUCGUGGUGCUGGAGGAGCACGCGCGCGGCGACAGAGCACCACAAGAGGGGCGAAGGAUCGGGGUGAAGGUCGCUAGCGACACUACGAGUUCCGGCAAGCGAGGAGGCUGUUCGCUGGUUAAAAUCGCGAGCUCACAGGCCGUGGGUGCUGGCGGCGGUUCUAUGACGGAGGCGCGAGAUGAUGCGAUGGAGUGCGCGCGGGAGCGUAGUUGGGUGCGCUCUAUCUCCAUCUCAAGGAGGCGGGUGAAGGUCGUGGCGACGCUGCGUUUCCGGCGAGCAAGGAGCGGACUCGCUGCAGAAAUCCCGAGAUGCCGGAGCCCAGGAGCCAGACGCCACCUUCGACGACUCCUACUACACCGGAGG
This is a long non-coding RNA of Aegilops tauschii subsp. strangulata, 578 nucleotides long. RefSeq lists it as uncharacterized. The record is from RefSeq and is a predicted model, not a curated record. Lineage: Eukaryota; Viridiplantae; Streptophyta; Magnoliopsida; Poales; Poaceae.